This 21-nucleotide non-coding RNA is filed under the name Rattus norvegicus (Norway rat). Lineage: Eukaryota; Metazoa; Chordata; Mammalia; Rodentia; Muridae. The record is from RNAcentral.
UCCAAAGGUGCCAUUGUUCUU